This 826-nucleotide ribosomal RNA is filed under the name uncultured bacterium. RNAcentral describes it as "bacterial SSU rRNA". It matches the Rfam family "Bacterial small subunit ribosomal RNA", at positions 8 to 810 of the family's 1533-position model. The record is from RNAcentral.
AGAGUUUGAUCCUGGCUCAGAACGAACGCUGGCGGCGUGCCUAACACAUGCAAGUCGUACGAGAAAAUCCGCUUCGGCGGGUGAGUAGAGUGGCGCACGAGUGAGUAACGCGUGGAUAAUCUGCCUUUAAGCUGGGAAUAACUCACCGAAAGGUGGGCUAAUACCCGAUAAUGCUAUGGGACUUCGGUUUUAUAGCCAAAGAGAGCCUCUACAUGUAAGCCUUCACUUAAAGAUGAGUCCGCGUACCAUUAGCUAGUUGGUAGGGUAAUGGCCUACCAAGGCGACGAUGGUUAGCUGGUCUGAGAGGAUGAUCAGCCACACUGGAACUGAGACACGGUCCAGACUCCUACGGGAGGCAGCAGUGAGGAAUAUUGCGCAAUGGGGGCAACCCUGACGCAGCAACGCCGCGUGAGUGAGGAAGGUCUUCGGAUCGUAAAGCUCUGUCGGGUGGGAAGAAGUGUGCAUAGGUUAAUAGCUUGUGCACUUGACGGUACCGCCAAAGGAAGCACCGGCUAACUCCGUGCCAGCAGCCGCGGUAAUACGGGGGGUGCGAGCGUUGUUCGGAAUCAUUGGGCGUAAAGAGCGUGUAGGCGGCUAGGCAAGUCAGAUGUGAAAUCCCUGGGCUUAACCCAGGAAGUGCAUUUGAAACUGCUUAGCUUGAGUAAGGAAGAGGGAAGUGGAAUUCCUGGUGUAGAGGUGAAAUUCGUAGAUAUCAGGAGGAACACCGGUGGCGAAGGCGACUUCCUGGUCCUAUACUGACGCCGAGACGCGAGAGCGUGGGGAGCAAACAGGAUUAGAUACCCUGGUAGUCCACGCCGUAAACGAU